Schistocerca nitens (vagrant locust) is the source of this 2173-nucleotide long non-coding RNA. RefSeq lists it as uncharacterized. The record is from RefSeq and is a predicted model, not a curated record. NCBI's taxonomy places the organism in Eukaryota, Metazoa, Arthropoda, Insecta, Orthoptera, Acrididae. The transcript has 3 exons.
UGAAACAGAGAAAAAGAUAGACUGCCAUGUUAAUGAGCAUGAGAUUGCCCAGUAUCACUCUGACAGAAGAGUAUGGUGUUUCCUUGAUAUGGUAUCUGGUCAGCAAUGUCAUUGGGACCAAAUGAAAGUUACUGCAGAUACCACACAGAAGCAAUUACUGUUACUGGAAUACCAGUAAUGUUUAUUAAAUUCAGUUGUAAAGUAGUUCUGGGCAUUGCAGCUGGCGAGCAAUGUCAUUGGGCACCAAAAGAAGUUCAGUUAUGAUGGAUUUCUGGCCUUCAGUCCAUGGGAAAAUUCACACCAGAUUGCAUCAAGACUGUUAUAUUCCAUGGAUAUCUUGGAAGAUUGAUAGUAUUCCUGAAGGAAAACAAUCCAUAUAGUAUUUCACGUGUGUAUCAAACUGCCAUUUGUUGUGGCACAUAAAUGUUUGCAAUUUGAUUGUAAUUUUCGAACAUUUUCUCAACAAUCCAAGAAUUUCUUGUAAUGAGAAGUAGACAUUGUUGCUUGGGUAAAGGAAAUACAAAUCACGGUCAAUAUAACUACCUUAUUAACUUUCCACAGAGAAAUAUUUUUCACUACUGCUACUUAAAAAUUCAAAUGUGUGACAAAGUUUGCUUACAGAACUUGGCAUAAAGAUCUCCCUUAUUUGUAUUUUUUAGGUAGCUCUUAUUGUUUGAUCCUUCAAAUGGAAUGCUAUGACCUCCAUGUGAUCUAUUCCUUAGUAGUUAAUUAUCCAUUAAGGCACAAAUAUAUGAACAUUACAAUGAGAGGGGUCUUUAUGCCAGGCCCUGUAAAAGUAAUGGCAUCUUACUUAAUAUUAUUGUUGGGAAUUUGAUGGCACAGCUGUGGGGAGACCACAAAUUUCAGGGUUUGCUAACUGCAAAUCUGGCACACAGUUGCUGAGUGAUUCAAGUACUUUUCAUAAUGUUUCACUGUUGAUACAGUUGUAUGUGAGAUGAUAAACCUGCUUGAACACCACCUUCACUUCAAAUUGCUGCAAAGAAAUGGUUAAGGUAUCAGUGUGAUGCUCUAUAUGUGUUUCCUCAACUGUGUCCUCAUUGCUACUGUCUUCAUGUGAAAUUACUGCAGACACACUUCUGAAACCAAACCUGUACAUCUUGUGAAGACAGAUUAAUGGGCUAUUCCUGCAGCUUUCUGGUAUUUUAUCAAAACCCCACUCUGGAUAGAAAAUAAUGAUUGCACAGAAAUGCUUGCAUGGGUAUUUAUAUAUCUCAAAAUCUUCACAUGCGCAGUUUGGUAGAGCAAAGCUUACAACAUAAUUAGUCUUUGAACAUUGUACUCUCCAUAUAAAACAUUGUCCAACUUCACAUUCACUAAUCUUGCAGUUAAUUCAACUUUCCCUGGUGCGUAUCACUGCAUGACAUGUUUCACAAACUUGCUUUUAAAAAAAAAAAAAAAUGAAAAAACAGUGGAACAUGUCUGUUAUGAUUUGAUGGCAGAAUUCUGCAGACAGUACUUUCUAAUUAGGCUUGGAAGAAAUUGAUUUCUUAUAUCCCUAGUAGCCCCAUUGAAGGUCCCAUCUGUGUUCGAUUUUAGGAAAAAAAAUGUUUACAAUCUUGUUCAUGGCGUCAACUCCACUUGUAAUGUCAAUGGUAUCAAAAUUGCCCUUGUCCUCAUAAGCUUCCACUCACUUUUCAUGUAUCAAUAGCCACUGCUGUUAAACGUACAGUGAUGCAUAUUCGUUUCUCUGAGAAGCCUCACUAUCUCUUCUGUAUGAUCUGUAAAUUCUCUGUUGGUGAUUCUGAAAUUUCUUGCCACAUGCCCAGAAAUCUCUUCAUGUCAUUUGGUAUUUAUUCAGCCAUCUUCCUCAAACCUGUUUGACUGAAAAGGCACAAGUAAACUUUUGUCUGAGGAUAUGCUUGAUCAGUUGCGUUUGUCUCAGACUAUAAGAAAUCAGUAACCCAGUAGGUGGGAUUCCAAUCCUUGAAAAUGGCUAGUGCUUCAUGAAUGGAUCUCGCAUUUUCAACUUGAAUGAAAAAGAAAACCAAAUAACCCACAUUACUCUUUACAGCUAUAAAAAAAUAAAGGCAUAUCAUGUGUUGUUGUUUUGUAUGUUGCAUAUAACAACUAUCCCUGUACUUCUUCAAAAGAUCUCUUUGCUAACAGCUCUGAUAGAAAAAAGUGAUGGUUUCACUCCUCCAUUGGCACCCAU